AUAAUUAUUACGUGCAAAGUUAUUAAUGCCUAAAUGCUAACGUACAAUCCUAAGGGCUGGGUUUUGCUGAACCUGUAAAUUCGCGUUACGUAAAACGCAAUAGGAACGCCGCCUAUAAAUAGGGGCUCCUAAAUCCUAAAAAUAGCAGGUUAAUCCUGAAUCCUUAAAAAUCAGUUUCUAAUCCAAUGCUAUAGUUAUAAUGCUAUCGUGGAUUAUUAUACGCUAUAUUAUCGCCCUGUAUUUUGUUAAUUACCGUAUACCUAACCUGUACCCAGUCCCCGGUUGUGACAAUUUUAAUCCUUUUUUUUGGGUUAUUUAUACGAUAACCGACAAUAAUCCAGGCGAAUCGUCAAAAAUUAUUAAACCUAUGGUCGAUUUCGACGUUGAAAAAAAAAAAUACGCCAAUUAAAACGUUAUAAGGAAUUUAUGCAAAAAAAACUGGAUUUCCAACGGGAAACCAAAAAAUUUUAAAAAUAAUUCCAAUUUUUUACCCAAAAGAAACGCCAAUUUCCUGAAAAUAAAAGGAAAAGGGAAAUUAAAAAUCCCCAUUUUUUUAUUUUGGAAUUUAAUUUAUUAUGGAAAUAACGAAAUAAUUGGUUAUUACAAAUAUAAUAAAUAUUUAAAAUAAUAUCCAAAAAAUAUUGCACAAAGGAACGCAAGGUUUUUUACGGGUUUUUAACCUUAUCGAUUGCGUUUCGAAACCGUUAUAAUAUUUACAUUUUGGGGUUCCCAAAAAACGAACGUACCGUUACCGAGGUUAAUUGGAGCAAUUUCGUUAAAUGGAUAAAAACGUUUAUUAAAAUUAAUAAAAUUAAAAAAAAAAACGCCAUAUUAAAAUUGGAAUAAAUUAAAUAUUUUAUAAAAUAAUUUUUUUUUGAUUUCCAUAUUUAUUUUUUAAAUUUAAAAUCCCAUAUGGAUAGGGAAACCGAAAAAAAUCGUUUUUUACGGUUUUUUAACAAAUUGGUAUUUAAAUUGAAAAAAUACCUUAAUAUUUACUGUGGUAUUAUAUUUUUUACCCGAAAUAAAACAAUGAUUUGGGUAUAAAAAUAUUAAAAUAAUAUUAAAGGACGAAAACGAAACGUUAAAAACAAUUUAACAGGACCAUUUUCCAGCAAAAAAACCAAAAAAACCGAAAAAAAUAGGAACGGAAAGGACGGGGAAUCGCAAAUUACCCAAAACAAUUUUUCCCAACGCAAAAAUAAAAACAAAAAUAAAGGAAAUAACGGAAAUUCCGGCGGAAAUCGGACAAAACGCAAACCAAACGAAAAAGGGAAACGCAAAUCCGGGGGGUCCGACAAUUUUAAAUUUCGGAAAAAUCGAAAAAAUAAAACCAUUGGAAAAUUAAUCCGGUAUUACCGCUGCGAUAAUAAUACGCAUUUCGUUUAUUAAUAUCCGGAAAAGAUUUCGGGGUUAGGUAAAUAACAAAUUAAAAUUUCGGAUCAAUCCAAAACCAGGAAAGAAACCAAGGUUUAAAUAAUUAAAAAUAAAAAUACGCAAAAUAACCUUUUUCGAAAACCUAUUAUUAUAUCCAGCAAACCUAAUAUCCCAAUUUUAUUUUAAUAUCCUAUAUUUCAAACCUCGGCUCGUUUAUUAAAUAUACCGGGAAUUAUUACCCAAAUGGCCAUAAAUACGGGUGCAAAGGUUAAUUUAAUUAAUAAAACUUUUGCGUUAUAAUAUUAAUUAUUUUUGCAAAUAUGCAAAAUACCAGUUAUUAUUAAUGUGGAACAGGACGAAAUUACCAUUAAAGGAAUUUAUUUUAUAUAAUUAUGGAUUAUUAAUUUUCGAAAUAUUUUUAAAAAGGUGGAACGUUUAUAUAUUAUUAUAUAAAAAAUAAAAGAAAACCUUUUUAUUAUUUGGAAAAGGUCGGUUUUGGUAAACGAAAAUAUUAUUAUAAAUAAUUCCACGUAUUAAUAAUGGUUUAAAAUAA
RNAcentral lists this small RNA (1927 nucleotides) under Pyricularia oryzae. RNAcentral describes it as "Magnaporthe oryzae sRNA M_BR32_EuGene_00054841". Lineage: Eukaryota; Fungi; Ascomycota; Sordariomycetes; Magnaporthales; Pyriculariaceae. The record is from RNAcentral.